This 254-nucleotide unclassified non-coding RNA is filed under the name uncultured bacterium. Its description in RNAcentral is "contains 16S-23S intergenic spacer region". It matches the Rfam family "Bacterial small subunit ribosomal RNA", at positions 524 to 776 of the family's 1533-position model. The record is from RNAcentral.
UACGGAGGGGGCAAGCGUUAUUCGGAUUUAUUGGGCGUAAAGAGCGCGUAGGCGGACGGGUAAGUCUGAUGUGAAAGCGCUACCGCUUAACGGAGCGUUGCCAUUGGAAACUGCUCGUCUUGAGUGUGGCAGAGGUUGGUGGAAUUCCAGGUGUAGCGGUGGAAUGCGUAGAUAUCUGGAAGAACACCGGUGGCGAAGGCGACCAACUGGGCCAUUACUGACGCUGAGGUGCGAAAGCCAGGGGAGCGAACGGG